RNAcentral lists this ribosomal RNA (551 nucleotides) under uncultured Glomeromycotina. RNAcentral describes it as "SSU rRNA". It matches the Rfam family "Eukaryotic small subunit ribosomal RNA", at positions 548 to 1098 of the family's 1831-position model. The record is from RNAcentral. Lineage: Eukaryota; Fungi; Glomeromycota.
UUGGAGGGCAAGUCUGGUGCCAGCAGCCGCGGUAAUUCCAGCUCCAAUAGCGUACAUUAAAGUUGUUGCAGUUAAAAAGCUCGUAGUUGAAUUUCGGAGUUUGUCGGUUGGUCGGGCUUCACUGUUCGCACUGGCCUGAUGGAUUCCUACCUUCUGAAUAACCAGCAUGCUAUUAAUUUAGUGUGUUGGGGAAGCAGAGCUAUUACCUUGAAAAAAUUAGAGUGCUUAAAGCAGGCUUACGCUUGAAUAGAUUAGCAUGGAAUAAUAAAAUAGGACGGCAUGGUUCUAUUUUGUUGGUUUCUAGGAUCACCGUAAUGAUUAAUAGGGAUAGUUGGGGGCAUUAGUAUUCAAUUGUCAGAGGUGAAAUUCUUGGAUUUAUUGAAGACUAGCUUCUGCGAAAGCAUUUGCCAAGGAUGUUUUCAUUAAUCAAGAACGAAAGUUAGGGGAUCGAAGACGAUCAGAUACCGUCGUAGUCUUAACCAUAAACUAUGCCGAUUAGGGAUCGGACGAUGUUAAUUUUUUAAUGACUCGUUCGGCGCCUUACGGGAAAC